GACGAACGCUGGCGGCGUGCUUAAUACAUGCAAGUCGAGCGAAGUUUUUCUGGUGCUUGCACUAGAAAAACUUAGCGGCGAACGGGUGAGUAACACGUAAAGAACCUGCCUCAUAGACUGGGACAACUAUUGGAAACGAUAGCUAAUACCGGAUAACAGUAUUUCUCGCAUGAGAGAUAUUUAAAAGUUGGUUAUGCUAACACUAUGAGAUGGCUUUGCGGUGCAUUAGCUAGUUGGUGGGGUAAAGGCCCACCAAGACGACGAUGCAUAGCCGACCUGAGAGGGUGAUCGGCCACACUGGGACUGAGACACGGCCCAGACUCCUACGGGAGGCAGCAGUAGGGAAUCUUCCGCAAUGGGCGAAAGCCUGACGGAGCAACGCCGCGUGAGUGAAGAAGGAUUUCGGUUCGUAAAGCUCUGUUGUUAGGGAAGAAUGGAUAUGUAGUAACUAUACAUAUAAGAGACGUACCUAACCAGAAAGCCACGCAU
RNAcentral lists this ribosomal RNA (489 nucleotides) under Gemella morbillorum. RNAcentral describes it as "bacterial SSU rRNA". It matches the Rfam family "Bacterial small subunit ribosomal RNA", at positions 28 to 498 of the family's 1533-position model. The record is from RNAcentral. Lineage: Bacteria; Bacillati; Bacillota; Bacilli; Caryophanales; Gemellaceae.